ACGAACCGAGCGAACGUUAUUCGGAAUCACUGGGCGUAAAGGGCGCGUAGGCGGGAUGGCAAGUCAGUCGUGAAAUCUCUCGGCUCAACCGAGAAACGUCGGCUGAUACUGCCGUUCUUGAGGGAUGCAGAGGAGACUGGAAUUCCCGGUGUAGCGGUGAAAUGUGUAGAGAUCGGGAGGAACACCGGUGGCGAAGGCGGGUCUCUGGACAAAACCUGACACUGAGGCACGAAAGCUAGGGGAGCAAACAGUA
RNAcentral lists this ribosomal RNA (253 nucleotides) under uncultured prokaryote. Its description in RNAcentral is "partial 16S ribosomal RNA". It matches the Rfam family "Bacterial small subunit ribosomal RNA", at positions 525 to 777 of the family's 1533-position model. The record is from RNAcentral.